This is a long non-coding RNA of Poecilia latipinna (sailfin molly), 6790 nucleotides long. RefSeq lists it as uncharacterized. The transcript is spliced from 2 exons. The record is from RefSeq and is a predicted model, not a curated record. Lineage: Eukaryota; Metazoa; Chordata; Actinopteri; Cyprinodontiformes; Poeciliidae.
AAAGUUCCAAAUGCGUCAGUGAAUUGAUGUUGGCUGUGUGGGCAAUGCUAUGCAAUAAACUGAGAGAGUUAACGAUUUAAAAAGUGAAUAAAUGAAAUUAGCGGAAGAAAGUGGGACGGAAAUGUAGAGACAGGGGGAAGGGCAAUGGAAGAAUGAACUACAAAUGAGAGCGAUGGCGGUGGCAGGUUGGCACAGUGCCAUCCAGUCAGGACUGAAGCAGGGGCGGGCAUGGGCAUGGGCGAAGGGGCGAGGAGAAUAAGAGUGAAAGACGAAGAGAAACAGACCUCCACAGUGCUUCUAUGAUGCCACCUUGGCACAGGCAGAGUGGGGCGUCAUGAACGGGAAACCGGGCAGGGAAAAGGACGAUAUGGAAAAGACCCGGGUAAAGCGGAGCUUUGAACCACAGCGUGCCAGCCAGCGGGUAGUGUGCCAGUUUGUCCUCAUGGCAUACCCGAAGCACUUAAAGCAGAUGGCGGAGAAUUGUUGCAGUCAAAAACAAAGGGACUCACCUCAGAGGAUUUGCCUCUAAUCACUGUCUGCUCGGACAAAGCCAAGAGGAAGUGCCCGGGCAACGGUUGCCAGUGGUUGUGAUGGCAUCUUUUGAUGGUUUCGGGGCAAAGGAAGGUGGCAUGCUGCCAAGGCAACGCAUUUGUAAACAGAAACAUCCAUAUGUUGAGCGGAACAUUUCAAGCGCCUUGGAUAUUUUUGGCAAAAACAUUACUUCAAGGGAAAGGCUAAAAAGAUAAAUAGCAUCACGCCAAACAAAAACCACGAGGCAUUUACGGGCGCUGUCAAAAGCUGUACUAGCAGGUGGAGAAUUGCAGCCCAAAAAUAGUAACAACGUGGUACAACUACAGUCACAAAUGGAGCUUUUGUGAGUGCGUGGCUCAAGAAGCCCAUUGCCUUGCUGCCAACUCGACCUUGUGCCAGCUGCUGCACUGAAGGGAAGGUUGCUGGACAUUACAUGGAAUGAAGAGAAGGGAAUCUUCCAUUUUUACUUAGCGAGGAAGAGAAAUAAUGAGCAAAAGAAGUAAAGGAUGUGGAAGGAAUUUGUGCUUAACGAAGAACAGUGGGAGUGGGUGGACGGAGAUGAUGAAGAGCGUCUUUCCUGCUCUUGCACACCUGGGAUGUUCUUAAAGGGAAAUCCCCUCAGACUGCUAUAUGUGUAAAAGGGAGGGAUGUGUUGGCAUCAUCUCCAGGGUGUCAAGCUGUGCUUCUCCACUGCCAUCCAGGGAGGGUGCUGCUGGAGUCAUCAAGGGCGGGCAACAGCCUGGGCAUCUCAUCUGCAGCUAAUUAACAGCCACACACUAAUUCUAACAGCCGAUCAUAAUUAGUGAUUUAAUCGCUCGUCAGCGCUCUCCCCCCGCCCCCCUUAAAUUGCGCCUCCUAUUUGGACACGUGCGGAUAAGCCAAGGAACGCUUGAUCCCAGCCCCCACCUCCCUCCACUCUUCCUCGAUCCGUCUUUUCUUCAUCCUUGGCUCCAGACUCCAGUGGGAUCUUAAUUAAGCCUGGGCUUCAUUAUGCAAAUGGAGUACAAUAAGCGACAGCAGAGGUGGAGUUGGAUAUGGACUGAAAAAGAGUGAUGGUAGUGGAAAGCUGGAAAUGGAAAACAUGUGAAAACCUACAAAAAUGUUCUUCUCAUGUUACUGUGUUGCAGCAAUUGUGUGUCAUUCUAACAUGGAUUUCUUCAGUGCUUGCGCUACUACCACAUGUUGUCUGAGAGCAAACACCUCACGCGAUGAAGCUCCAUAGCUGCUGCCAAGGGGAAAACUUCCCUGAAACAACACUGGAUAUUCAGAAUGUCAUCUCUCACAAAGAAAACUCUCAAGGGAAUCAUGACAAUGAACCUCUUAAUAUCACCAGUUGGCUGGAUACGGAGAGAGAUGGUAGAGAUAGGGGGAAAGAAAAGGAGGCAGACAGAAACACUGACAGUGGCAGCAGCAUGGCAGCUAAUGUCAUCUCAGUUUAAUCAUCGCAUAGGAUCAUGGGGUUCAUGAAAAUUCAUUUGCAUAUCAUUAAAUGGAGAGAGGUUAUUUGGUGCGGGCCAACAAAAUGGGAUUGGAAGAAGGAAGGGGGUGAAAAAAAGGAAUAGUCGGGCUCGUUAUUAAACUGCAAUGUUUUAUAGUCUGCCAGCCGAUUCAUUUAAUUUGAACGUAAUUAAAAUGUGUCAGGCUCAAUCAAUCAUGCCAACAGGGAUACUAUCAAUGUAUCAGUCUGAAAAAGGACUAAUCAGAGGAUAUGCACUUGGACACUUUCCAAUAACAGUCACUGAGAGUGGGCCAUAAUCCUCUGGAAGCUUGACCAGUCUCCUUCUUCAGUCGGUUAUGCAAAAGUGCAAAUACUGUGUAUUAUGUAAAAGCUGUGAAAGAUUGUGACAUGUUGUGCAUUGCUUAAUGAGAGGGUGUGCCACUUUGUUCAAUGUUGUCAUAUUGCCCUUCAUGUUUUCCUACUGUUGUAUUUUUGGUGGAAGAAUUUCUCAGGUAUGAAAUGGAGCCGUCUGCACCUGGACAUUCCAUACAAAACAUGCAUCUAUUUGGAACCACCAGGCGGACAUUUCGCGUAACUAGUUUGACAACAGAUGAUUUAAACUACAUUUCUAGUCUCUACUAAUACUCUACCACUGUGAAAUAUGAUCAUUGUGACUGCAGUAAUUAAAAUAUACAAGCAUUAUUGCUUAGGCUUUUGGUUUUGUCAGUGGCUCCAGGUCAACUCACCCCUUUCCCAAGUCAUAUCCCCAUUUCUUACACACAUUGCCAUUUUGCACUCUCUUAUUUCUGUAACAAAUAUAUGGAAACUAUGUUGUGUAAUACAUUUUAAAGCUGUAAAGUAUUUUGUUAAAUUAUGAUGAGAAAUGGUCAUAAAAAAUACUCAUAUUUCACAUUAUCUCAUACACUUUUAUUUUUAAAAUGGAAUAAGAUAAUCCUGACACCACUCUUUCUAUUUCCUGUGGUUUUCACCCCAGUGUUCCCUGUUGAAUUGAUGAAAUAUGACAGAUUAUGACCACUAAUCAAACCAAAGGAGGUUUAGGCAAGCUCCUGCUAGUAAAUAUUCUUAAUUGGACUCAUGUCAUUAUUUUACUACAGUUUGAGUUGAAAAGACAUAAUAUUUUGACUGUAUAUUUAUUGGUUGUCAAAGGGAGUACAAAUCACCUCCUAUAUAGGUACACACUGAUGUGUUGUUGAUAUAAAACUUUCCUUAGAAGAAGAUUCUAUUUCAUAACUAAUAAGUCGGGUUUGAAAUGGUCAAAACUACCAGAGUAUGAAAUAUUUUAGAAGAAUGAUGUGCCCCAAGUGGGAAUCGCAAUCAAAAUAAGCCAAAAUAUUGUGUAAUAGGCUUUUUUUCAGAAAAUUAACAUGUAAGUUAUACAGUAAAUUUGAGAUUUUCUUAUACAUUUCAUAAUUAAAAUGCUGAACUACAAAGAGAAAUAAACUCACGCUGCAUGGUUUGAGUACAUGAGUAUAAAAUGGUUUGUUUACAGGUGUGAAACAGAAGUAGAAAAGGACAAGAAAUGUUAAGCAUGUACAAAAUGGGGAGUACACAUUCGCAAAGGAGGAAAUUCAUCCUAAGCUCGCAGUUUCUUUUUGUCCAAAGUGUCCAAGAUGUCCAUGUUUGGCUUGUAUGCGGAUGCCAGUGUGCAUUCCUCAUUUGCAUAAGUGAUAUAAUUAGGCCGCCCUUUUUGAAUGGAGAUCAGUUUGGCAACCUGGCAAUCACUCUCACAUACAUACAGUCAUGCACACACAUAAACACACUGCAACACGCGCUCACUGGCAAGACCUCCCCACACCCCAUUCCCAAUAUCACAGAGGGUCUGUUGUCUGUGAGCAAAGAGUGUAAAGAUUAACAUAAUCCAGCUAAUAAGUGUGAGUAAUAUUCACACAGAGACGCGUGGCAUAGACACUCUCCUGCUGAUGCGUAUUUGUAUCUCAUUAUACAUGUAAAGUUCUGUGGCCGCCUGCCAGUGGGGUAAUGGGGGGCUGGUUUAGCGUAGUGGGAGGCAUGGAAAAGGGUCGCCAAGUGUGGGUCACAACAAACAUGUGUAAGUUGUCCUCUCCUACUUUUGAGAAGAACCAGUAUAGUUUUUAUAGAACUAACAGGUAAGUAAAAGAGAAGCAGAAAUAAUAAUAAUAAAAAAAAAAACUGCUAUUCCUUUUUUUAUUUCUACAAAGGUGCAGUGUCAGUUUUUAAGCAGAAUGGAGGAAUUAUAAAUAGUGUAUUUGCGCUUACAGGCUAGCUCUACAACAUGAUUGAUUGGGAUGGUGUGACGACCAUUAAAAAGUCAUUUAAAAGAUGGAUAGGGACCACAUUUCCAAAUAAAAACCACUUUAUACCUGAUGAAGUGCUGAACAAACUCUUCUGCAGAGACAUUUACUGAUUACUAUUGAGGUAUGAGUGAGUGUAAUGUGGGAAGCGAUGUAUCAGCUGUGGGAGACACCAGGGCGACAGUCUGCAACACAGUUAGGCAGUGAAUGGUGACACUGACUUUUAUUAAAGCUAAAUUUGAAUUUUGUUUCAAUUAAAAGAAGGACAGAUAUGUAAAAAAAAAAAAGAAGCAUGGAUUGAAAAAAAUGGCACAAACAACCUUACCGCUGCAUGCUUAUUAAAUUCUAUCUGAUAGUGCCAUGGCUUCAAAUGAAAGCUUAUCCUCAGAGGCAGAAGGUGUGUCUGCAUUUGAGCUCUGUCUCUUUAAGUCGGGGCUCCACCACCGCAGCAUGCUUUGGGAUUCAUGCAUAAACAUGAGCUGGCCUUUCAAGCUCUCUCCUCACAUAACCAAUCUAAAUCUAAAUGAGCCCCCACUACAGAUACACCAGCAGGCAAUAAUUUCACGCCGUCCCUCAAAGCCCCCCCCAUCCCACCACCUUCCACCUACGCUCCAUACACACACAUGCACUUGUACCCCCUUUUUGCCGCAACCCCACCAGCUGCACAGUGCUCAUUUGAUUAAGAGGGGAGGACAGGGAGAAGGAGAAAUGGUGGGGGAUCACUUUAUCAUGAUGACUUUCUAAGAUGGCUAUCAUCCAAUACGAAGCUAUCUCAAAGCCCUCUUGUGUGUUUACUUUGCUUUUGUUCUCCACAUGUAUCUGUUUUCUCUUCCCUCCUUGCCGCCACAAUCAGAUCAUAACAGCUUCAACGGUUACAUUUUCCGCUGUCGCAUUUCUGUAUAGCAGCUAAAUGAACAUCCCUCUUUCAAGAGAAUAUGAGGCAAAUACCAGUUAGGAUUUGACUUGUGACUGAGAGAAAAGCAGCAUUCCAGUGCUGCUGCUUCAACCAGAUGGAAAGUUUGUUUGUUCUUUUCAAGAGAAAAAAAAAAAAACAGAAUAAAAUCCACUGACUUACACCGUGCUCUUUGAAAUGUUUCAUAUGAAUAUCAGUUUGUCCUAAAGGUGCUGCAGUAUGCAAUUUUUCCUCCCCUUUCUCCCAGAGUCGUAAAACACAUUAUCAUCAUCAGCAGCAGGAGCAGCAAUGUAAUUCAUCCGAGGUCGUUAAUAUUCAUCAUAUCAUUUAGUCACAAAGGAAACUCAUCUGGCUGAAUGUCAGAGAUGUAAUUAAUGAAGUGACCCUAGAGGUCAAGGCUCCAUUCACGAAAUGCCUUCCACACUGAGCACACACACUCUUACACACACACACACAGAGAAUUGCACACCAAAUGCUUUUCAGCCAGAUGUACCCCAAUACCAAACCCAGCACCAGAGACCCAUAAGAGAGCUGAUGCCGUUACAUAGAACAACAUUCAUAAAAUUACUUUUCAAAGUGAGACUAAAGGGAUGACACCAGAGCGUGCACCAAAGCAGACUUUAUUUAGCUCAGUGGAGUAAGGAGGGGAGGGGAAGAGGGAAACACACAGCAACAUGGGAAAACUGGGGUGGGAGUAGAAUAGAGACACACUAAACCACUGGAGCAGGACAUAAGGACAGGUGCACAUCACAGGUAUCUUUUUGGUCAUCACUAUGGCAACAACAUAUCCAGAAACAAAAUUUAAAGAACUGUUUUACCUACAGCAAGGUUAACAGAGUCUCUUCAUCAUUAAAGGACUCCAAUAUGUACAUCUUACAGUCACUACGAUCAAGAGAAUACGAGAAAAAUUAAAUCUGAAAUCAUCGGUAUAGAACAAAAAAACUGCCUUGGUGGUAUUUGGAAUGCACAUUUCUGCACAGAAGAAAGCUCAUUGGUAUUGUCGUAAACAUUGGUUAGUUUAAGAACAAAAACAUGACAGAGAUUUUCAGUCCAUAUCCUUUGGAAACUUGGCUGUGAAGUCAGUCGGAGUCAGCAAAACUGUUUGAGCUGGACUUACUGACCAAAGACUUUGCAACACAGAAAGACACCAUACAAAUGGAGGUUUUGGGGCUUAACUCCUUCAAACAUCUACGCAGUAUCUUCAUAUUCACUGAGAAGUUAAUGCCCAAAUAAAGUUUAUCUUAAACUGGAGGCCUGAAAAAAAAUAAUCCUAAUAACAUGAAAUCUAUUUUUGUCUUAUGAGUUAUACGAUACUGAUCAAGAAAACCUGAUGGAAUUGAGCCCCACAAAUCUACAGUUGAAACCAGAUGUUUGCAUAUGCUGUAUAAAAAGAUGCCUGACCUUUUUUUCUUUCUCAGUGUCUGACAUUUAAUCAGACUAAAUCUGUGCUGCUUUAAGUUCAGCGGGAUUACAAAAAUUGCUUGGAUUUGCCAAAUGCCAGAGUAAUGAGAGAGAAUUUGUUUGCUUCGUGGAAAAAAAACUAAAGGAAUCAUUCAGGAUAUAAAGAAAAUAAUUGGGAGCUCCAGAAGUCUGGUUCAUUCAAGGGUACAAGAUCCA